This 690-nucleotide unclassified non-coding RNA is filed under the name Hevea brasiliensis (rubber tree). Lineage: Eukaryota; Viridiplantae; Streptophyta; Magnoliopsida; Malpighiales; Euphorbiaceae. The record is from RNAcentral.
UCAUAUAACUGUUUUUUUUUUUUUCUUAUAAGCUAUUUCAUGCAUGUUAAGGUGUGUGGUCCCUUAUUCUAUGAAUCGAAACUGAAUUUCGAUUCUUCUUUUUUUUUUUAUUAGAAUUGGAAUCAAAUGUUUGAUUUUAAUUUUUAAUUUUAAUUUUGAUUUUAUUUUUAAUUUUUUUUCACUUAAAACUAUUAUAUUAUUGUGUUUUUUCAAACGAAUAAAAGUAAUUAUAAAUUAAAAAAAAGUACACUUUAAUACCUCUGAUCGUGCAGUUUAUUAAUGGGGGCCUAAAGUCUUUUUUUCUUUAAUUCAAAGGCUUGUGUUAUCAUAUCAUUAACAUUUAAGAAGAAAAUUGCUAAAUCGUGUCAAUAUAUGUUGAUGUAGUAAGUCUUUUUGUACUCUUAAAUUAAUAUAGCAAGUGAAACCCAUAUAUUUAGCUAUAUAUAAUUAUAGAGGUAAGCAUUCAGUUCAAACUGAAUCAAAUCGAAUCGAACCAAAUUAAAUUAUAAAAAUCAAACCGUAAAUUUUAGAAACCGAACCGAACUCAAAUGAGUGAAAAAUCGAAUCGAACCGAACCACUCUAUUUUGGUUCGAUUUGGUUUAAACCGAUUGGUUUGAUUUUUUAUUGAUUUUUUAAUUUAGAUUUGAUUUUCAAGUUAUUUGAUUUAAUUUUGACUUUGGUUUGAACCU